CGUUCUGUAAGCCUGCGAAGGUGUGCUGUGAGGCAUGCUGGAGGUAUCAGAAGUGCGAAUGCUGACAUAAGUAACGAUAAAGCGGGUGAAAAGCCCGCUCGCCGGAAGACCAAGGGUUCCUGUCCAACGUUAAUCGGGGCAGGGUGAGUCGACCCCUAAGGCGAGGCCGAAAGGCGUAGUCGAUGGGAAACAGGUUAAUAUUCCUGUACUUGGUGUUACUGCGAAGGGGGGACGGAGAAGGCUAUGUUGGCCGGGCGACGGUUGUCCCGGUUUAAGCGUGUAGGCUGGUUUUCCAGGCAAAUCCGGAAAAUCAAGGCUGAGGCGUGAUGACGAGGCACUACGGUGCUGAAGCAACAAAUGCCCUGCUUCCAGGAAAAGCCUCUAAGCAUCAGGUAACAUCAAAUCGUACCCCAAACCGACACAGGUGGUCAGGUAGAGAAUACCAAGGCGCUUGAGAGAACUCGGGUGAAGGAACUAGGCAAAAUGGUGCCGUAACUUCGGGAGAAGGCACGCUGAUAUGUAGGUGAAGUCCCUCGCGGAUGGAGCUGAAAUCAGUCGAAGAUACCAGCUGGCUGCAACUGUUUAUUAAAAACACAGCACUGUGCAAACACGAAAGUGGACGUAUACGGUGUGACGCCUGCCCGGUGCCGGAAGGUUAAUUGAUGGGGUUAGCCGCAAGGCGAAGCUCUUGAUCGAAGCCCCGGUAAACGGCGGCCGUAACUAUAACGGUCCUAAGGUAGCGAAAUUCCUUGUCGGGUAAGUUCCGACCUGCACGAAUGGCGUAAUGAUGGCCAGGCUGUCUCCACCCGAGACUCAGUGAAAUUGAACUCGCUGUGAAGAUGCAGUGUACCCGCGGCAAGACGGAAAGACCCCGUGAACCUUUACUAUAGCUUGACACUGAACAUUGAGCCUUGAUGUGUAGGAUAGGUGGGAGGCUUAGAAGUGUGGACGCCAGUCUGCAUGGAGCCGACCUUGAAAUACCACCCUUUAAUGUUUGAUGUUCUAACGUUGACCCGUAAUCCGGGUUGCGGACAGUGUCUGGUGGGUAGUUUGACUGGGGCGGUCUCCUCCUAAAGAGUAACGGAGGAGCACGAAGGUUGGCUAAUCCUGGUCGGACAUCAGGAGGUUAGUGCAAUGGCAUAAGCCAGCUUGACUGCGAGCGUGACGGCGCGAGCAGGUGCGAAAGCAGGUCAUAGUGAUCCGGUGGUUCUGAAUGGAAGGGCCAUCGCUCAACGGAUAAAAGGUACUCCGGGGAUAACAGGCUGAUACCGCCCAAGAGUUCAUAUCGACGGCGGUGUUUGGCACCUCGAUGUCGGCUCAUCACAUCCUGGGGCUGAAGUAGGUCCCAAGGGUAUGGCUGUUCGCCAUUUAAAGUGGUACGCGAGCUGGGUUUAGAACGUCGUGAGACAGUUCGGUCCCUAUCUGCCGUGGGCGCUGGAGAACUGAGGGGGGCUGCUCCUAGUACGAGAGGACCGGAGUGGACGCAUCACUGGUGUUCGGGUUGUCAUGCCAAUGGCACUGCCCGGUAGCUAAAUGCGGAAGAGAUAAGUGCUGAAAGCAUCUAAGCACGAAACUUGCC
Molecule: ribosomal RNA, 1579 nt
Filed under: Escherichia coli
Lineage: Bacteria; Pseudomonadati; Pseudomonadota; Gammaproteobacteria; Enterobacterales; Enterobacteriaceae
Description: partial 23S ribosomal RNA
Rfam family: Bacterial large subunit ribosomal RNA
Source: RNAcentral